AAAAAGACUUUGACGAGAAGAGUAUUUCUUAAAACAGACGUUACAGCGAGCCGAUGGUGGUGUAAGUUCGGCACAGAGUUUGAGGAAGAAGAACAUCUCCGAGUUGCCAACCGAAAGCAUGCGAGUAGGCUUGGCCGUAUCCGUAACGUUACAAACGGUAGAUAUCGACAGAAAUGUCCGUAUCGAAGAGCUGGGUGAUAAACCAAUAUGGGUGGUACCGCGGAAGAGUAAGCUUUCGUCCCUAUC
RNAcentral lists this non-coding RNA (246 nucleotides) under Clostridiales bacterium. Its description in RNAcentral is "T-box sequence". It matches the Rfam family "T-box leader". From Rfam's summary of the family: Uncharged tRNA acts as the effector for transcription antitermination of genes in the T-box leader family. The record is from RNAcentral. Lineage: Bacteria; Bacillati; Bacillota; Clostridia; Eubacteriales.